AUUGAACGCUGGCGGCAGGCCUAACACAUGCAAGUCGAGCGGAUGAAGGGAGCUUGCUCCUGGAUUCAGCGGCGGACGGGUGAGUAAUGCCUAGGAAUCUGCCUGGUAGUGGGGGAUAGCGUCCGGAAACGGGCGCUAAUACCGCAUACGUCCUGAGGGAGAAAGUGGGGGAUCUUCGGACCUCACGCUAUCAGAUGAGCCUAGGUCGGAUUAGCUAGUUGGUGGGGUAAAGGCCUACCAAGGCGACGAUCCGUAACUGGUCUGAGAGGAUGAUCAGUCACACUGGAACUGAGACACGGUCCAGACUCCUACGGGAGGCAGCAGUAGGGAAUAUUGGACAAUGGGCGAAAGCCUGAUCCAGCCAUGCCGCGUGUGUGAAGAAGGUCUUCGGAUUGUAAAGCACUUUAAGUUGGGAGGAAGGGCAGUAAGUUAAUACCUUGCUGUUUUGACGUUACCAACAGAAUAAGCACCGGCUAACUUCGUG
Molecule: ribosomal RNA, 484 nt
Filed under: uncultured bacterium
Lineage: Bacteria
Description: partial 16S ribosomal RNA
Rfam family: Bacterial small subunit ribosomal RNA
Source: RNAcentral